UACGUAGGGUGCGAGCGUUAAUCGGAAUUACUGGGCGUAAAGCGUGCGCAGGCGGCGCCGCAAGUCAGGCGUGAAAUCCCCGAGCUUAACUUGGGAAUGGCGCUUGAAACUACGGUGCUAGAGUGUGGCAGAGGGGGGUGGAAUUCCGCGUGUAGCAGUGAAAUGCGUAGAGAUGCGGAGGAACACCGAUGGCGAAGGCAGCCCCCUGGGCUGAGAUUGACGCUCAGGCACGAAAGCGUGGGGAGCAAACAGG
This 253-nucleotide ribosomal RNA is filed under the name uncultured bacterium. Its description in RNAcentral is "partial 16S ribosomal RNA". It matches the Rfam family "Bacterial small subunit ribosomal RNA", at positions 524 to 776 of the family's 1533-position model. The record is from RNAcentral.